CCUACGGGAGGCUGCAGUGGGGAAUAUUGGACAAUGGGGGGAACCCUGAUCCAGCCAUGCCGCGUGUGUGAAGAAGGCCCUCGGGUUGGAAAGCACUUUCAGUGAGGAAGAACGCCUGGUGGUUAAUACCCAUCAGGAAAGACAUCACUCACAGAAGAAGCACCGGCUAACUCCGUGCCAGCAGCCGCGGUAAUACGGAGGGUGCGAGCGUUAAUCGGAAUUACUGGGCGUAAAGCGCGCGUAGGUGGCUUGAUAAGCCGGUUGUGAAAGCCCCGGGCUCAACCUGGGAACGGCACCCGGAACUGUCAAGCUAGAGUGCAGGAGAGGAAGGUAGAAUUCCCGGUGUAGCGGUGAAAUGCGUAGAGAUCGGGAGGAAUACCAGUGGCGAAGGCAGCCUUCUGGACUGAUACUGACACUGAGGUGCGAAAGCGUGGGUAGCAAACAGGAUUAGAUACCCUUGUAGUC
Molecule: ribosomal RNA, 465 nt
Filed under: Vreelandella stevensii
Lineage: Bacteria; Pseudomonadati; Pseudomonadota; Gammaproteobacteria; Oceanospirillales; Halomonadaceae
Description: partial 16S ribosomal RNA
Rfam family: Bacterial small subunit ribosomal RNA
Source: RNAcentral